Molecule: ribosomal RNA, 443 nt
Filed under: uncultured bacterium
Lineage: Bacteria
Description: partial 16S ribosomal RNA
Rfam family: Bacterial small subunit ribosomal RNA
Source: RNAcentral
CCUACGGGAGGCAGCAGUGGGGAAUAUUGGGCAAUGGGCGCAAGCCUGACCCAGCAACGCCGCGUGAAGGAAGAAGGCUUUCGGGUUGUAAACUUCUUUUCUCAGGGACGAAGAAAGUGACGGUACCUUAGGAAUAAGCCACGGCUAACUACGUGCCAGCAGCCGCGGUAAUACGUAGGUGGCAAGCGUUAUCCGGAUUUACUGGGUGUAAAGGGCGUGUAGGCGGGGAAGCAAGUCAGAUGUGAAAACCACGGGCUCAACCAGUGGCCUGCAUUUGAAACUGUUGUUCUUGAGUACUGGAGAGGCAGACGGAAUUACUAGGGUAGCGGUGAAAUGCGAAGAUAUUAGGAGGAACACCAGUGGCGAGGGCGGUCUGCUGGACAGCAACUGACGCUGAGGCGCGAAAGCGUGGGGAGCAAACAGGAUUAGAUACCCCUGUAGUC